ACUGGCAGUUAGCUCUCUGCAACUAUAACAUGGUUGCCCACUGAAGCUAAGCAGGGGUGCACCUGGAUGGGAGAUGGAUGGGAGACCACAUGGGAAAGCUAGGUUGUUGCCGGAA
Molecule: ribosomal RNA, 115 nt
Filed under: Danio rerio (zebrafish)
Lineage: Eukaryota; Metazoa; Chordata; Actinopteri; Cypriniformes; Danionidae
Source: RNAcentral